This 360-nucleotide unclassified non-coding RNA is filed under the name soil metagenome. RNAcentral describes it as "partial contains 5.8S ribosomal RNA, internal transcribed spacer 2, and large subunit ribosomal RNA". The stretch from base 1 to 120 matches the Rfam family "5.8S ribosomal RNA", at positions 35 to 154 of the family's 154-position model. The record is from RNAcentral.
GAUGAAGAACGUAGCGAAAUGCGAUACGUAAUGUGAAUUGCAGAAUUCAGUGAAUCAUCGAGUCUUUGAACGCACAUUGCGCCCGCCAGUAUUCUGGCGGGCAUGCCUGUCUGAGCGUCGUUUCGACCCUCGCGCCCGGCUUCUGUCGGGGGCGGUGUUGGGGAUCGGCCACACCCUUCAGUGGGAGGCCGGCCCCUAAAUUCAGUGGCGACCACGCUGUAGCCUCCCCUGCGUAGUACUAAAACCACCUCGCAGGCGGAGAGCGGUGCGGCCCGCCGUAAAACCCCCCAACUUUUACAAGGUCGACCUCAGAUCAGGUAGGAAUACCCGCUGAACUUAAGCAUAUCAAUAAGCGGAGGA